This 2565-nucleotide ribosomal RNA is filed under the name human gut metagenome. RNAcentral describes it as "bacterial LSU rRNA". It matches the Rfam family "Bacterial large subunit ribosomal RNA", at positions 63 to 2653 of the family's 2925-position model. The record is from RNAcentral.
AAUCUGCGAAAAGCGUCGGUAAGGUGAUAUGAACCGUUAUAACCGGCGAUACCCGAAUGGGGAAACCCAGUGUGUUUCGACACACUAUCAUGUCAUGAAUACAUAGUGGCAUGAGGCGAACCGGGGGAACUGAAACAUCUAAGUACCCCGAGGAAAAGAAAUCAACCGAGAUUCCCCCAGUAGCGGCGAGCGAACGGGGAGGAGCCCAGAGCCUGAAUCAGUGUGUGUGUUAGUGGAAGCGUCUGGAAAGGCGUGCGAUACAGGGUGACAGCCCCGUACACAAAAAUGCACAUAUUGUGAGCUCGAUGAGUAGGGCGGGACACGUGGUAUCCUGUCUGAAUAUGGGGGGACCAUCCUCCAAGGCUAAAUACUCCUGACUGACCGAUAGUGAACCAGUACCGUGAGGGAAAGGCGAAAAGAACCCCGGCGAGGGGAGUGAAAUAGAACCUGAAACCGUGUACGUACAAGCAGUGGGAGCCUCUUAAUGGGGUGACUGCGUACCUUUUGUAUAAUGGGUCAGCGACUUAUAUUCUGUAGCAAGGUUAACCGAAUAGGGGAGCCGAAGGGAAACCGAGUCUUAACUGGGCGUUAAGUUGCAGGGUAUAGACCCGAAACCCGGUGAUCUAGCCAUGGGCAGGUUGAAGGUUGGGUAACACUAACUGGAGGACCGAACCGACUAAUGUUGAAAAAUUAGCGGAUGACUUGUGGCUGGGGGUGAAAGGCCAAUCAAACCGGGAGAUAGCUGGUUCUCCCCGAAAGCUAUUUAGGUAGCGCCUCGUGAAUUCAUCUUCGGGGGUAGAGCACUGUUUCGGCUAGGGGGUCAUCCCGACUUACCAACCCGAUGCAAACUACGAAUACCGAAGAAUGUUAUCACGGGAGACACACGGCGGGUGCUAACGUCCGUCGUGAAGAGGGAAACAACCCAGACCGCCAGCUAAGGUCCCAAAGUCAUGGUUAAGUGGGAAACGAUGUGGGAAGGCAUAGACAGCCAGGAUGUUGGCUUAGAAGCAGCCAUCAUUUAAAGAAAGCGUAAUAGCUCACUGGUCGAGUCGGCCUGCGCGGAAGAUGUAACGGGGCUAAACCAUGCACCGAAGCUGCGGCAGCGACACUAUGUGUUGUUGGGUAGGGGAGCGUUCUGUAAGCCUGUGAAGGUGGCCUGUGAGGGUUGCUGGAGGUAUCAGAAGUGCGAAUGCUGACAUAAGUAACGAUAAAGCGGGUGAAAAGCCCGCUCGCCGGAAGACCAAGGGUUCCUGUCCAACGUUAAUCGGGGCAGGGUGAGUCGACCCCUAAGGCGAGGCCGAAAGGCGUAGUCGAUGGGAAACAGGUUAAUAUUCCUGUACUUGGUGUUACUGCGAAGGGGGGACGGAGAAGGCUAUGUUAGCCGGGCGACGGUUGUCCCGGUUUAAGCAUGUAGGCUGGUUGUCCAGGCAAAUCCGGAUAAUCAAGGCUGAGGUGUGAUGACGAGGCACUACGGUGCUGAAGUAACAAAUGCCCUGCUUCCAGGAAAAGCCUCUAAGCAUCAGGUAACAUCAAAUCGUACCCCAAACCGACACAGGUGGUCAGGUAGAGAAUACCAAGGCGCUUGAGAGAACUCGGGUGAAGGAACUAGGCAAAAUGGUGCCGUAACUUCGGGAGAAGGCACGCUGAUAUGUAGGUGAAGCGACUUGCUCGUGGAGCUGAAAUCAGUCGAAGAUACCAGCUGGCUGCAACUGUUUAAUAAAAACACAGCACUGUGCAAACACGAAAGUGGACGUAUACGGUGUGACGCCUGCCCGGUGCUGGAAGGUUAAUUGAUGGGGUCAGCCGCAAGGCGAAGCUCUUGAUCGAAGCCCCAGUAAACGGCGGCCGUAACUAUAACGGUCCUAAGGUAGCGAAAUUCCUUGUCGGGUAAGUUCCGACCUGCACGAAUGGCGUAAUGAUGGCCAGGCUGUCUCCACCCGAGACUCAGUGAAAUUGAACUCGCUGUGAAGAUGCAGUGUACCCGCGGCAAGACGGAAAGACCCCGUGAACCUUUACUAUAGCUUGACACUGAACAUUGAGCCUUGAUGUGUAGGAUAGGUGGGAGGCUUUGAAGUGUGGACGCCAGUCUGCAUGGAGCCGACCUUGAAAUACCACCCUUUAAUGUUUGAUGUUCUAACGUUGGCCCGUAAUCCGGGUUGCGGACAGUGUCUGGUGGGUAGUUUGACUGGGGCGGUCUCCUCCUAAAGAGUAACGGAGGAGCACGAAGGUUGGCUAAUCCUGGUCGGACAUCAGGAGGUUAGUGCAAUGGCAUAAGCCAGCUUGACUGCGAGCGUGACGGCGCGAGCAGGUGCGAAAGCAGGUCAUAGUGAUCCGGUGGUUCUGAAUGGAAGGGCCAUCGCUCAACGGAUAAAAGGUACUCCGGGGAUAACAGGCUGAUACCGCCCAAGAGUUCAUAUCGACGGCGGUGUUUGGCACCUCGAUGUCGGCUCAUCACAUCCUGGGGCUGAAGUAGGUCCCAAGGGUAUGGCUGUUCGCCAUUUAAAGUGGUACGCGAGCUGGGUUUAGAACGUCGUGAGACAGUUCGGUCCCUAUCUGCCGUGGGCG